UACUCCUACGGGAGGCAGCAGUGAGGAAUAUUGGUCAAUGGGCGAGAGCCUGAACCAGCCAAGUAGCGUGCAGGAAGACGGCCCUAUGGGUUGUAAACUGCUUUUAUGUGGGGAUAAAGUGAGCUACGUGUAGUUUAUUGCAGGUACCACAUGAAUAAGGACCGGCUAAUUCCGUGCCAGCAGCCGCGGUAAUACGGAAGGUCCAGGCGUUAUCCGGAUUUAUUGGGUUUAAAGGGAGCGUAGGCCGUGGAUUAAGCGUGUUGUGAAAUGUAGACGCUCAACGUCUGAAUUGCAGCGCGAACUGGUUCACUUGAGUAUGCACAACGUAGGCGGAAUUCGUCGUGUAGCGGUGGAAUGCUUAGAUAUGACGAAGAACUCCGAUUGCGAAGGCAGCUUACGGGAGCACAACUGACGCUGAAGCUCGAAGGUGCGGGUAUCAAACAGGAUUAGAUACCCUGGUAGUCCGCACAGUAAACGAUGGAUGCCCGUUGUUAGUUCACCUAAGAAUUAGCGACCAAGCGAAAGCAUUAAGCAUCCCACCUGGGGAGUACGCCGGCAACGGUGAAACUCAAAGGAAUUGACGGA
This 585-nucleotide ribosomal RNA is filed under the name uncultured bacterium. RNAcentral describes it as "bacterial SSU rRNA". It matches the Rfam family "Bacterial small subunit ribosomal RNA", at positions 334 to 917 of the family's 1533-position model. The record is from RNAcentral.